RNAcentral lists this ribosomal RNA (343 nucleotides) under uncultured bacterium. Its description in RNAcentral is "bacterial SSU rRNA". It matches the Rfam family "Bacterial small subunit ribosomal RNA", at positions 28 to 372 of the family's 1533-position model. The record is from RNAcentral.
GACGAACGCUGGCGGCGUGCUUAACACAUGCAAGUCGAACGGAAAGGCCCUGCUUUUGUGGGGUGCUCGAGUGGCGAACGGUGAGUAACACGUGAGUAACCUGCCCUUGACUUUGGGAUAACUUCAGGAAACUGGGGCUAAUACCGGAUAGGAGCUCCUGCUGCAUGGUGGGGUUGGAAAGUUUCGGCGGUUGGGGAUGGACUCGCGGCUUAUCAGCUUGUUGGUGGGGUAGUGGCUUACCAAGGCUUUGACGGUAGCCGGCCUGAGAGGGUGACCGGCCACAUUGGGACUGAGAUACGGCCCAGACUCCUACGGGAGGCAGCGGUGGGGAAUAUUGCACAAU